This is an RNA transcript of Drosophila subpulchrella, 1188 nucleotides long. It is a transcript of the gene named kelch-like protein 25, with no coding region annotated. The transcript is spliced from 3 exons. NCBI's taxonomy places the organism in Eukaryota, Metazoa, Arthropoda, Insecta, Diptera, Drosophilidae. The record is from RefSeq and is a predicted model, not a curated record.
ACCCUCAAACCAACAUUAUCUGGUCAUUGCGGAAGUGCUAUUGCAACCAACAGCCUAAUCAUCCGCGCGAUAUAUUAAAAUACAAAAUAUUAAAUAUAAAUAUUUAGUAAAUAUACUUCAGAAUCUAUUGAAGUAUGGAAAAAGGCGGUGGAGUAUGUAAUCUCAUCUCAUUUUCAGGGCGCACAGAGGAUCUGCACUGCGUAAAAGAGGGCUUUUUUCGGAUAUUAAUAUCCGAGUUGAAAGCUCCGUCUUCCAAUGCCACAAGAUUGUUUUGGCUUCGGCAUCCGAGUUUUUUGAAAUAUUAUUACAGAAAGAGGGUUUAAAAACGGGGGAAGUGAUAUUGCAGGAUACAACACCACAAGUUUUUGAAAUAUUUCUUGAUUUCAUAUACACAAAAGAUAAGUGUCCAUUGAAGCAAACCAAACCGUACGUAUUGCUGUCGCUUUUAAAGUGUGCAAAUAUGUGGCUGGCAUGCGAAGUUCAGCAAGUAUGUGAGUCAACUCUCUUAGGAAGUAGUAUGGCACCAAAGGAAUGGAUUCAACUUUAUGCCGUAUCAUUUCUUCUGGACAAUAAAUUGUUAAUGUCGCACGCCAUUCAGUUAUUACAACGUCAAAACCAUUUCGACUGUCCGGAAUUUAUGGAAUUGGAAUUGCACUGCUUCGUAGAGUAUUUUUCGUGUACGAAGGAUUUGGAUCAAUUGAAGCGCUUUACUAUGUUAGAUAUGUGGUUACAAAAAAAUAUUCCAAAAGAACAUAGGGUUUUACACAUGAAUAAUGGAAACAUUGUACGAAAACGUAGUCCAAGUUCAACCACAACGGAUCACGAUAAGAUUACUGUUCUUCUGGAUAGCAUUGACUUUGAGAGAAUGUCUUUGGAUGAUUUUUAUAAAGGCCCUGCAAAGUCGAAUCUUUUGACAGAAUCUGCCAAAAUUGAAUUAAUGUAUAAAAUGGCUAAAAGAGGCCACCCUCACAAUAGAUGCUAUCGGAACCAACAUUUUUAAAAUUAAAAUUUAGCUUUCAUUCUGAUUUCUCUUUCUUCUUCUCUUUAAAAAAAACAAUAAGGGAGAUUAUUUUGUCCGAAGAAAAUUAUUUGUUUCCUUGUGUUUUAGUAUACCAUUUCGUUAAGACUUAACUUACUCUUCGAGUAAAAAGGUAUAUUGUAUUCGUUCAAAAAUAUAAAUAAAAAAUA